RNAcentral lists this long non-coding RNA (907 nucleotides) under Struthio camelus australis. RNAcentral describes it as "lncRNA (ENSSCUG00000012134.1)". The record is from RNAcentral. Lineage: Eukaryota; Metazoa; Chordata; Aves; Struthioniformes; Struthionidae.
CCUGGCUGCAGAUCGCCGUUCCGGUUUAAAUCCCUCUGCUGGGGGGGGGGCAGGUGGGAGGUUUAUACUGCUGGCCCUGGGGGCCUGGCCCGCGGUGCCGUGGAAGGGAGCGGUCGUCCAGGCCCUGCUGCGUUAAACCUCCCUAAAGGAUUUAUCCUGGCUGGCCGGCCCCGUGGCCUUGCCAUGACGAAGCCCGGUCUGUGGCUAUUUCUAACCUGCAAACACGGAAGUUUUUCUCUCCAGAAGAGACCACAGCUUGCGGCUAGUGAACCGUUCUCCCUCUGUGCUCUCCUGCCCAGUGCAGAUCCAAAUGCUGUGGCUACCAAGGCUUGUUACUUCUAUGAGCUGGAUCUUGUGAAUCCAAGAGCUACUUGACAGUUUCCAAGGCAACCACCUGUGGAAUAAUUAAAAAAGAUGAAGCAUCAGUAUGUCAGAUAUAGGGAAUCUUGCCUGGAGAGAGCCCUUUGUUUUCACCUGCCUUGAAGAAUUGAAAGCAUUUCUGCCAGCAGAGUUAAGAAGUUUAAAAAUGGUGACUGAGUUGUACAGGAGAACCAGGACAAUCCCAAAAAAUUCAGAAGAUGUCCGUGAUCAUACGGGUAUGACUAGCAAAGGAGAGCUGGUUCUAGUGCCUGCUGCGUUUUGGAUUUGUUUCGUGCCAGGAAGGAGUCGAGCUUCUGACUUCUGAAUAAUACCUAAACUUUGUGUGUGAUACUUCUCCUGAUAAUACAUUGGUAAGUUUAUGUCCUCAUUUUCAGUGCUAGCAUGAUACCCUCUUUACUCGGGCUGUAAUUGAAAGAAAGGCUGCAACUGCUCUUUGAACAGCUCUUCUUACUGGAGCAGCUUUUGCAGAAAACUCUAGCUGGCCCAGCCACAGUUUGGGAAUAAGUAAAUAAGGGGCCAGACUUUG